AUCAACCAGUGAAACAGCUUGCCUUCAGAAGCUGUGGAUGCUACAACACUGGAGGCCCUUAAGAAAGGCCUGGACAACCAUUAUAUAAAAUAGUAUAGGGUCUCCUUCUUGAGCAGAUUAUUAUCCUCCAAGUAUUGUUCAGAAGAAGAUAACACAUGUAUACAGCCUACUUGUAGUAGAGAGAUGGAGUUUCUUAAGAAGAUUGAAAUAGUUUAUAUGAGGACGGUUCUCUGCUGGUCAAUGCCUCUAGGAAUCAAGGCAGACUGAGGAAAAUGUGGAAGCAUCAAUUAAUUGGUAUGUUUUGGCAUUGUAAUGAAACAUUUUAACUGGAAUCAAAUCAAGGAAAUUUUUGGAGCUACCCAAAUCAAACAGGCUCCUCUGAAGAAGACUAAAUCUAAGUUGGAACCCUAUAAAGCUUCAAGAGUGAAUUGGAAAUUAAGAGUCACUGAGGGCCUUUCUUGGACAUGACUACUUAAGUCCUACAUUUUCUCAUUGUCCUUGCAAUGAGGAUGUCUAAUCACAACAUGGCUGCCAUUCUUAAAACACCCAUUUCACUGAAGCGCAAACUGAUGAAAUGGCAAAUGGACAAAGAUGAGACCCUAAGACAAAACGGGGACCAGAUUUGUGUCACAAAACAAAUUCACUGAAUGGUCUUGUUUUGUCAAUAUAUAAUGUUGAAAAAUGCCUUCUCCUCAUGGCAAAAAGGUUACCAAAAUCCAGCAGCAGGGGGAAAACUAAUUAAGAUAGAAUUUAAGAUGCGGGGAGGGGAUCUAAAUGUAUUUUGAAUAGUGAGGAAAGAAUCAAAGUUAUUCUCCAGAGGAAAACCCAUUUUUAAUCCAGGGGAAAACCCCUUUUUAGAGAAUCCAUACAUAAAAAACUUCUAUGUCUUCUUUUUCUUGUACUUUUUAAAAAAUAGUCCUACCUUUGUACCACUUUCCACUUCUCUGAAGGAUGCUGCAAAUAAAAUGGAAACG
Molecule: long non-coding RNA, 974 nt
Organism: Pantherophis guttatus
Lineage: Eukaryota; Metazoa; Chordata; Lepidosauria; Squamata; Colubridae
Source: RefSeq, a predicted model, not a curated record